GGGCCCGCACAAGCGGUGGAGCAUGCGGUUUAAUUCGAUGCAACGCGAAAAACCUUACCUACUCUUGACAUCCUUGGAAGAAUCUAGAGAUAGAUUUGUGCCUUCGGGAACCAAGUGACAGGUGCUGCAUGGCUGUCGUCAGCUCGUGUCGUGAGAUGUUGGGUUAAGUCCCGUAACGAGCGCAACCCUUAUCCCUUGUUGCCAGCACGUAAUGGUGGGAACUCUAGGGAGACUGCCGGUGACAAACCGGAGGAAGGCGGGGACGAUGUCAAGUCAUCAUGGCCCUUACGAGUAGGGCUACACGCGUGCUACAAUGGUCGGUACAGAGGGCAGCUACCGGGUGACCGGAUGCGAAUCUCUAAAGCCGAUCUCAGUUCGGAUUGGAGUCUGCAACUCGACUCUAUGAAGCUGGAAUC
RNAcentral lists this ribosomal RNA (416 nucleotides) under uncultured bacterium. Its description in RNAcentral is "bacterial SSU rRNA". It matches the Rfam family "Bacterial small subunit ribosomal RNA", at positions 917 to 1333 of the family's 1533-position model. The record is from RNAcentral.